Molecule: transfer RNA, 83 nt
Filed under: Danio rerio (zebrafish)
Lineage: Eukaryota; Metazoa; Chordata; Actinopteri; Cypriniformes; Danionidae
Description: tRNA-Leu (CAG) (tRNA-Leu-CAG-42-1)
Rfam family: tRNA
About the family: Transfer RNA (tRNA) molecules are approximately 80 nucleotides in length. Their secondary structure includes four short double-helical elements and three loops (D, anti-codon, and T loops).
Source: Rfam by way of RNAcentral
GUCAGGAUGGCCGAGCGGUCUAAGGCGCUGUGUUCAGGUCGCAGUCUCCUCUGGAGGCGUGGGUUCGAAACCCACUUCUGACA